RNAcentral lists this ribosomal RNA (1046 nucleotides) under Triticum aestivum (bread wheat). RNAcentral describes it as "partial small subunit ribosomal RNA". The record is from RNAcentral. Lineage: Eukaryota; Viridiplantae; Streptophyta; Magnoliopsida; Poales; Poaceae.
ACAACAGGAGGUGAGAAGGGGCUCGAGUGGGGGGGGGGGGGCACCUUGGGCUCGGGCCGCCGAGUGCGACGACUGCGGUGUGCUCGUCAGUGCUUCUGACACGGGUGUCUUCAACGGAAGCCGCACAGAACGGUUCUCCAAAUGGCAGGAUGAGGUUGCAGCCGUCGCUGGCACUGUCGAGCUCCACAAGUGCUACGGCUUCGACGUCUCCCGUAUGAAGAGCAUGGAGCGCAUCAAUUGGUCAGAUGAAGGUUAUGAGUUAUGUUUGUGGAUUAAUUUGAUCGUUUAGUGUAGAUAUAUAUUGACUGUAGCAUAAUUGCUGAAAAUGUGUUGAUUGAUUCAUCAAUCACAGCCUAAACACACACCAAGAUUUUGUGUUUUGUGACAAGCUAUUUGCAUUUGCCUAGAAAAAAAUGGUGCAAUGAUCAUACGAGACAAGUUGAAACCCUGAUAAGAGAGUAACUGUUGACACCUGAUUUUGGCAAGAUACAGAUUGCAAUGAAGAUGGUCUCGAGUGAACGGGUUUUCAGCAUGAAAAUAUUCACAUCGCCGAGUGGAACCACUUUGAUGUUUUGGUUAUAUUCAUUCGACUUUAUCUUACGGACCGAAACUAUACUCCGAGUGGCAUAAUUCAAUGUUCCGAGUGGUUUUUGGCCAAUCACGUCUUCAAGAUGACCUCGGAUGAAGGAGCACUCUUAAGGAAUUGUCUACGUCUCGUCGAGGCAAUCGAUUUUGAUAUAUAAAUCAUCUCAACCGAGUUCAUAUGCAAAAGUUAGAGGCAAUACACUGCAGACCGAACCUCAACGGAAAUAUGGCGCGAGGUGCCAGACACUUGUCUGAUAGGUUGCGCGAGUAAUUCGGUCAUCAAGACGGCCUUGAAUCGAAAAACCUUCAACACGAAAUUUUUUUGUCUCGUCGAGCCGAUCGUUUUUCAUAUAAAAUUUGACUCAAUCCAAGGUCGUAUGCAACCUGGAGAGGAAAAUCAAGAUCAGGCUGUGUUUUCAGUCAGAAAAUCCGAGUGAAAAGUUUACCAUCCGAGUGAAAAC